This 253-nucleotide ribosomal RNA is filed under the name uncultured bacterium. RNAcentral's name for it is "partial 16S ribosomal RNA". It matches the Rfam family "Bacterial small subunit ribosomal RNA", at positions 524 to 776 of the family's 1533-position model. The record is from RNAcentral.
UACGUAGGGUGCAAGCGUUAAUCGGAAUUACUGGGCGUAAAGCGUGCGCAGGCGGUUGUGUAAGACAGAUGUGAAAUCCCCGGGCUCAACCUGGGAACUGCAUUUGUGACUGCACGGCUGGAGUGCGGCAGAGGGGGAUGGAAUUCCGCGUGUAGCAGUGAAAUGCGUAGAUAUGCGGAGGAACACCGAUGGCGAAGGCAAUCCCCUGGGCCUGCACUGACGCUCAUGCACGAAAGCGUGGGGAGCAAACAGG